CCAGCAGAGGGCGAUGGAGACCAUCCCUGGCUGGAUCACCUCCACCCCGGAGGCCCUUCACUGCCUUCACCACCCAGACAGAAGGUUCCCUCGUGAUCGGGGCGGUUUCCUUGGCACCAGCUGGCACCAGAAGGGAAUUCUCACGUGUUUAUUAAAGCAGAAGUGGCUUAAACCCAGACCCGUGUCUUAGCUUCACAGGGACUGCUGCCACCACUUGAAAUGUAGGAGUCUCAUGAAAUGAGGGACGUUGCCUGCCCGAGUCUCUGGGACCAGCGCCUGGCAUGAGGUAGGAACGAUAUCCUGUAAUCCUCGUUCGUAUUAAUACAGCGUAUUAAUCACACAGCGCGUCUCUAAGCACCUGAGCCAAACAAGUGUUUGAAUUCAUCCAUGGAAGUGAACACAGGCCCACCAGCCAGGGAUGGGCCUCAGAGGGCAGUGAGACCACUCUGCCCUGAAAUCACGCCAGGACGCGCACAUUCUAAACGCCGUGGUCGGCACUGC
RNAcentral lists this long non-coding RNA (501 nucleotides) under Bos indicus x Bos taurus (hybrid cattle). RNAcentral describes it as "lncRNA (ENSBIXG00000008083.1)". The record is from RNAcentral. Lineage: Eukaryota; Metazoa; Chordata; Mammalia; Artiodactyla; Bovidae.